This is a long non-coding RNA of Zerene cesonia (dogface butterfly), 329 nucleotides long. RefSeq lists it as uncharacterized. The record is from RefSeq and is a predicted model, not a curated record. Lineage: Eukaryota; Metazoa; Arthropoda; Insecta; Lepidoptera; Pieridae. The transcript is spliced from 2 exons.
UAUUUGAUCAAGUAAUAUGCCUGUUAGUUCUCAAUUGAGCGUUUUAAUAUUUUAAUAAGUUUUCUUGGACUAUAUAAGAGCUUACAAGACAAUGUAUUAUUAGUAACUGAUGCGACACCAUGCUCUUGAAAAGUUUAUACCUGUUCUUCAUCAUGUGUUUUUUAAGCAUACCAGCAAUUAUGGCAAGCCGUCAAGCACAUGUGCGGCGGCCAGUUAUAAUCAGAUCGUCUCAUCGUGGUUCGGGCAGAAGAGGCUAAAAGCCUUUGUUUUAACUAUGUGUAAUUAACACAUUUGUAUAAAUAAAAAAUAAAAUGCUUUUUGCCAAAUUA